CCUACGGGUGGCAGCAGUGGGGAAUAUUGGACAAUGGGCGAAAGCCUGAUCCAGCCAUGCCGCGUGUGUGAAGAAGGCCUUCGGGUUGUAAAGCACUUUCAGUGGGGAAGAAAGCCUUGGGGCUAAUACCCUCGAGGAAGGACAUCACCCACAGAAGAAGCACCGGCUAACUCCGUGCCAGCAGCCGCGGUAAUACGGAGGGUGCGAGCGUUAAUCGGAAUUACUGGGCGUAAAGCGCGCGUAGGCGGUCUGAUAAGCCGGUUGUGAAAGCCCCGGGCUUAACCUGGGAACGGCAUCCGGAACUGUCAGGCUAGAGGGCAGGAGAGGAAGGUAGAAUUCCCGGUGUAGCGGUGAAAUGCGUAGAGAUCGGGAGGAAUACCAGUGGCGAAGGCGGCCUUCUGGACUGACACUGACGCUGAGGUGCGAAAGCGUGGGUAGCAAACAGGAUUAGAUACCCCUGUAGUC
This 465-nucleotide ribosomal RNA is filed under the name Vreelandella stevensii. RNAcentral describes it as "partial 16S ribosomal RNA". It matches the Rfam family "Bacterial small subunit ribosomal RNA", at positions 338 to 795 of the family's 1533-position model. Lineage: Bacteria; Pseudomonadati; Pseudomonadota; Gammaproteobacteria; Oceanospirillales; Halomonadaceae. The record is from RNAcentral.